RNAcentral lists this long non-coding RNA (281 nucleotides) under Vitis vinifera (wine grape). RNAcentral's name for it is "long non-coding RNA (VVIN_LNC003954)". The record is from RNAcentral. Lineage: Eukaryota; Viridiplantae; Streptophyta; Magnoliopsida; Vitales; Vitaceae.
UCUAAGUGCUGAAUGACUCCUCAUUUUUUUCUUUCCCAUUUUCUGAAUUGCCACCCCUACCAAAGGGUAUGCAAACAAUGAUAGCUAGCAAGACUCUGGUCCCUUAACACGCACCAAAGUUGUAAGACCAACAUAAAAGGGGAAAAGGACAGAGACGCCAGCCAAGGAACACACAGAUGAGAAGAGAACAAAGAAAAUGGAUCUCCACAACCAUAUAUAAUCACCAUAACUCAGCAUGUCUACGCUAGAAAUAUCAGAAUGGCAAGAGAUGAACAGAAUUU